CCGGCUUUUUCACUACAGUAUAUAUUAUUAAUAUUAUUUCCUAUUUUCUAUUAUCUAAAAGAAGAAAGAGAAGUAGAAUCACAGAGAUGAGAUGAGAUAUUAUUAAAAUAUCGUGAGCUUUUAAUUUGCAUCCUUUAUUAAUUUUAUUCUUUGAAGCAAGUUUAUAAUUCCUAGUUAAAGGGAUUAUUUUAUUAUUUUCAGAGAUGAGAUUGGUGAUAAAUAAGAAAUAUUAUUAGUCGACUUAUCGCUCGACUAAUCGAAGUGACGGAUGUUAUUUAAUUAUUUAUCUAUGAGCUUUUUAUUUUAAUAGUGAUGAUUUAAUAUUAAGUCAUGAAUUUGAGAUCAUAUUUGAGAUAGCAAGAAUUUUAUUUUAGCAAAUUCAUUUCCUAAUUUUAGGAAUGAAUUUAUUUGGGAUUUUAUCUCACAAGAAAUUUGAGUUAAAGUAACCUUUGAAGUUUUAUUUAUUUAUUUUAAAAUUUUCUAUUUCACUUGUGUCUAUGGAUUUUGGUUUGAUAUAUGCACAAGGAGUAAUAUGGAGUGGAUUUUAUAACAUUUUCCUUAAAACUUUAUUAAUAAAAUAGCAUGUAUAUCUAGUUUUUGGAUUAGAACAAGAAAAAGCUUAUGGGAGAAGUCAUUACUUUCUUUAUCCUUAUCUUCCCUACGACUUUCCCUUUCAUGCGUAUAAUCUCCAUUCUUCUUUUACUUCAAGAAAACAUGAAAACCUACUUUUCAUUUUAGUUCCUUGCUCAGACGCUAUUUUCUCCCACUUGUUCUUUCAUUUCUUUUGUUGUUUCCUCACCAAGCUUUCGGAACAAUUGAAUCCUCUUAUAAUCAUCCAAGAGUACAGGUUCGAGUGGCUUUAUAAAGUAAACAAGCAAGGAUCUCUACUUCAUUAAGCAUACCAGGUUGAGCAAUGGCUGAUGAAGAUGAAGUGAUGAGCGGAGCUUUUGUCAUAAGUUUAAUAAAUGGACUCUUGGAUACAUGUCUUCAUACAUGUAAUCAGAUUAUGUUAUUCCGCUGCAUACUCUCAAGUAAUAUGUCUUUAAGCUAAGUCGGGUUCAUCCGAACUUACGAGUUAAUCGAGUCCUUGCGACUAAACAACAGUUAUCUUAUGAUUGUCCCUCCUUAACAAUGAUU
Salvia miltiorrhiza (redroot sage) is the source of this 1137-nucleotide long non-coding RNA. RefSeq lists it as uncharacterized. The record is from RefSeq and is a predicted model, not a curated record. The transcript has 3 exons. Lineage: Eukaryota; Viridiplantae; Streptophyta; Magnoliopsida; Lamiales; Lamiaceae.